UCGUUGGCUCUGAUUACAUUUUGGGGGAGUCCAGAGUUAUAUCUGAUUCCUUAAUUCAGUUUUGCACUGUAGAACCAACAUGAUGAAAUCGAAGCAAAGUUCUUCGAGGAGAGUCAGAGAGCAGCACUAGAAGCUAAAUAUCAGAAAUUGUAUCAGCCUUUCUAUACCAAGCGAUAUGAGAUUGUCACUGGUGUGGUUGAAGUUGAAGGUGCACCAGAAGAAGUGAAAACAGAAAAAUGAGAAGACAAAACUGCUGAAGAUACCUGAGAUGAAGGUGCUCUUAAGUAUCUUAAGGAUAUCAAGUGGAACAGCGUUGAAGAACCAAACGGGUUUUUAAGCUCGAGUUUUUCUUUGAUGAGAACCCUUACUUCAAGAACACAGUCUUGACCAAGACAUAUCACAUGAUAUGAAGAUGAGCCUAUCCUCGAGAAGGCCAUUGGAUAUGAUCUUUUGAUUUUAUCAUGCAUUUACUGUUUUAUGGUUCUCUAGAAGUCUUAUUGAUCUUUUAAGUAUUAUCCAGGACGGAGAUUGAGUGGUUUCCUGGAAAGUGUUUGACUCGGAGGAUCCUUAAAAAGAAGCCAAAUAAGGGAUCCAAAAACACAAAGCCGAUCACUAAGACUGAGGACUGUGAGAGUUUCUUCACCUUUUUAAGUCCACCUCAAGUUUCUGAUGACGAAGAGGAUCUUGAUGAUGACAUGGU
This is a long non-coding RNA of Brassica oleracea var. oleracea, 700 nucleotides long. RefSeq lists it as uncharacterized. The transcript is spliced from 3 exons. The record is from RefSeq and is a predicted model, not a curated record. Lineage: Eukaryota; Viridiplantae; Streptophyta; Magnoliopsida; Brassicales; Brassicaceae.